This 533-nucleotide ribosomal RNA is filed under the name Babesia canis rossi. RNAcentral's name for it is "SSU rRNA". It matches the Rfam family "Eukaryotic small subunit ribosomal RNA", at positions 532 to 1118 of the family's 1831-position model. Lineage: Eukaryota; Apicomplexa; Aconoidasida; Piroplasmida; Babesiidae. The record is from RNAcentral.
CCCUCCCGCGUAGCAUUGGAGGGCAGUCUGGUGCCAGCAGCCGCGGUAAUUUCCAGCUUCCAAUAGCGUAUAUUAAACUUGUUGCAGUUAAAAAGCUCGUAGUUGUAUUUUUGCUUGGCGGUUUGUUGCCUUUGUGGCUUGAUUCCGCUUGGCUUUGGCAUUUUUGCCUUAUUACUUUGAGAAAAUUAGAGUGUUUCAAGCAGACUUUUGUCUUGAAUACUGUAGCAUGGAAUAAUAGAGUAGGACUUUGGUUCUAUUUUGUUGGUUUGGGAACCUUCGGUAAUGGUUAAUAGGAACGGUUGGGGGCAUUCGUAUUUAACUGUCAGAGGUGAAAUUCUUAGAUUUGUUAAAGACGAACUACUGCGAAAGCAUUUGCCAAGGACGUUUCCAUUAAUCAAGAACGAAAGUUAGGGGAUCGAAGACGAUCAGAUACCGUCGUAGUCCUAACCAUAAACUAUGCCGACUAGUGAUUGGAGGUCGUCGUUUGUUUGACCCCUUCAGGAGCUUGAGAGAACAAGAUUUUCUUUUUUGGA